GAACUCAAGGUGGAAGUACCGGAGUACCUGGGGCCGCUGAUGUUUGUGAAACUGCGCAAACGUCACUUCCUUCAGGUUCUGCAGCUGGAUCUCCGUGUAGGGCCCCGGAGCCGGGGACGAGGUCAGGUUCCCUUGUUACCGCUGGGUGGAGGUCGACGGCGUCCUGAGCCUGCCUGAAGGCACCAGGGCGAGAAGAGGCGCUCACCAAAAGUCACUGGCCAAGCCCUCCUCUGGCCUUCUAGGCCGUACUGUGGGCGACGACCCUCGAGGCCUGUUCCAGAAACACCAGGAAGAGGAGCUGGAAGAGAGAAGGAAGUUGUACCGGUGAGCCCUCCUCCCCUGACCCCACGUGAGCUGCUGAUGCUUCCAGCACCCACGCCUGAUUUCCUUCCUGCCCUACAGGUGGGGAAACUUGAAGGAUGGGUUAAUUCUGAAUGUGGCUGGGGCAAAACUAUGUGACCUCCCUGUGGAUGAGCAAUUUCUGGAAGACAAGAGUGUUGACUUUAAGGUUUCGCUGGCCAAAGGGUGAGAGCAAGGGGAGGCUGGGUGAGAGGGAGGUGUCCUGGUCUAGUGGAAGCCAAGGGGCUUAUGGGCUGCACUGCACUGCACUGGACCGGCUCAAGGUCGGUGCCUGUGGCUGUCAUGUUGGAGUCUCAGAAUGAUGCUCAAACCCUUUGCCCCAUUCUGUCCUGAAGGCUGGC
RNAcentral lists this long non-coding RNA (701 nucleotides) under Homo sapiens (human). RNAcentral's name for it is "non-protein coding lnc-TXNDC17-1:2". Lineage: Eukaryota; Metazoa; Chordata; Mammalia; Primates; Hominidae. The record is from RNAcentral.